RNAcentral lists this ribosomal RNA (240 nucleotides) under uncultured bacterium. RNAcentral's name for it is "partial 16S ribosomal RNA". It matches the Rfam family "Bacterial small subunit ribosomal RNA", at positions 99 to 339 of the family's 1533-position model. The record is from RNAcentral.
CGAACGGGUGAGGAACACGUGAGAAACGUACCCCAGACUUUGGGAUAACAAAUGGAAACGUUUGCUAAUACCAAAUAACGUCGGAGAGUCACAUGACUUUCUGACGAAAGGAAUUCCGAUUCGAGAGGGUCUCGCGGCCUAUCAGCUUGUUGGUGAGGUAAUGGCUCACCAAGGCGACGACGGGUAGCCGGCCUGAGAGGAUGGUCAGCCACACUGGGACUGAGACACGGCCCAAACUCC